This 536-nucleotide ribosomal RNA is filed under the name uncultured bacterium. RNAcentral's name for it is "bacterial SSU rRNA". It matches the Rfam family "Bacterial small subunit ribosomal RNA", at positions 68 to 584 of the family's 1533-position model. The record is from RNAcentral.
GAAUGGAUUAAGAGCUUGCUCUUAUGAAGUUAGCAGCGGACGGGUGAGUAACACGUGGGUAACCUGCCCAUAAGACUGGGAUAACUCCGGGAAACCGGGGCUAAUACCGGAUAACAUUUUGAACUGCAUGGUUCGAAAUUGAACCGCGGCUUCGGCUGUCACUUAUGGAUGGACCCGCGUCGCAUUAGCUAGUUGGUGAGGUAACGGCUCACCAAGGCAACGAUGCGUAGCCGACCUGAGAGGGUGAUCGGCCACACUGGGACUGAGACACGGCCCAGACUCCUACGGGAGGCAGCAGUAGGGAAUCUUCCGCAAUGGACGAAAGUCUGACGGAGCAACGCCGCGUGAGUGAUGAAGGCUUUCGGGUCGUAAAACUCUGUUGUUAGGGAAGAACAAGUGCUAGUUGAAUAAGCUGGCACCUUGACGGUACCUAACCAGAAAGCCACGGCUAACUACGUGCCAGCAGCCGCGGUAAUACGUAGGUGGCAAGCGUUAUCCGGAAUUAUUGGGCGUAAAGCGCGCGCAGGUGGUUUCUU